Molecule: ribosomal RNA, 750 nt
Filed under: uncultured bacterium
Lineage: Bacteria
Description: bacterial SSU rRNA
Rfam family: Bacterial small subunit ribosomal RNA
Source: RNAcentral
AGAGUUUGAUCCUGGCUCAGAUUGAACGCUAGCGGGAUGCCUUACACAUGCAAGUCGAACGGCAGCACGGACUUCGGUCUGGUGGCGAGUGGCGAACGGGUGAGUAAUGUAUCGGAACGUGCCCAGUAGCGGGGGAUAACUACGCGAAAGCGUAGCUAAUACCGCAUACGCCCUACGGGGGAAAGCAGGGGAUCGCAAGACCUUGCACUAUUGGAGCGGCCGAUAUCGGAUUAGCUAGUUGGUGGGGUAACGGCUCACCAAGGCGACGAUCCGUAGCUGGUUUGAGAGGACGACCAGCCACACUGGGACUGAGACACGGCCCAGACUCCUACGGGAGGCAGCAGUGGGGAAUUUUGGACAAUGGGGGAAACCCUGAUCCAGCCAUCCCGCGUGUGCGAUGAAGGCCUUCGGGUUGUAAAGCACUUUUGGCAGGAAAGAAACGUCGUGGGUUAAUACCCCGCGAAACUGACGGUACCUGCAGAAUAAGCACCGGCUAACUACGUGCCAGCAGCCGCGGUAAUACGUAGGGUGCAAGCGUUAAUCGGAAUUACUGGGCGUAAAGCGUGCGCAGGCGGUUCGGAAAGAAAGACGUGAAAUCCCAGAGCUUAACUUUGGAACUGCAUUUUUAACUACCGGGCUAGAGUGUGUCAGAGGGAGGUGGAAUUCCGCGUGUAGCAGUGAAAUGCGUAGAUAUGCGGAGGAACACCGAUGGCGAAGGCAGCCUCCUGGGAUAACACUGACGCUCAUGCA